Molecule: ribosomal RNA, 627 nt
Filed under: Bradyrhizobium japonicum
Lineage: Bacteria; Pseudomonadati; Pseudomonadota; Alphaproteobacteria; Hyphomicrobiales; Nitrobacteraceae
Description: bacterial SSU rRNA
Rfam family: Bacterial small subunit ribosomal RNA
Source: RNAcentral
GUCGAGCGGGCGUAGCAAUACGUCAGCGGCAGACGGGUGAGUAACGCGUGGGAACGUACCUUUUGGUUCGGAACAACACAGGGAAACUUGUGCUAAUACCGGAUAAGCCCUUACGGGGAAAGAUUUAUCGCCGAAAGAUCGGCCCGCGUCUGAUUAGCUAGUUGGUGAGGUAAUGGCUCACCAAGGCGACGAUCAGUAGCUGGUCUGAGAGGAUGAUCAGCCACAUUGGGACUGAGACACGGCCCAAACUCCUACGGGAGGCAGCAGUGGGGAAUAUUGGACAAUGGGGGCAACCCUGAUCCAGCCAUGCCGCGUGAGUGAUGAAGGCCCUAGGGUUGUAAAGCUCUUUUGUGCGGGAAGAUAAUGACGGUACCGCAAGAAUAAGCCCCGGCUAACUUCGUGCCAGCAGCCGCGGUAAUACGAAGGGGGCUAGCGUUGCUCGGAAUCACUGGGCGUAAAGGGUGCGUAGGCGGGUCUUUAAGUCAGGGGUGAAAUCCUGGAGCUCAACUCCAGAACUGCCUUUGAUACUGAGGAUCUUGAGUUCGGGAGAGGUGAGUGGAACUGCGAGUGUAGAGGUGAAAUUCGUAGAUAUUCGCAAGAACACCAGUGGCGAAGGCGGCUCACUGG